RNAcentral lists this ribosomal RNA (723 nucleotides) under uncultured Bacteroidota bacterium. RNAcentral's name for it is "bacterial SSU rRNA". It matches the Rfam family "Bacterial small subunit ribosomal RNA", at positions 505 to 1230 of the family's 1533-position model. Lineage: Bacteria; Pseudomonadati; Bacteroidota. The record is from RNAcentral.
GUGCCAGCUGCCGCGGUAAUACGGAGGAUCCAAGCGUUAUCCGGAUUCACUGGGUUUAAAGGGUGUGUAGGCGGGGUAUUAAGUCUGUGGUGAGAGCCUACAGCUUAACUGUAGAACUGCCAUUGAAACUGAUAUUCUUGAGUAUAAUUGAAGUAGGCGGAAUGUGUGGUGUAGCGGUGAAAUGCUUAGAGAUCACGCAGAACACCGAUUGCGAAGGCAGCUUGCUAAAUUAUAACUGACGCUGAGACACGAAAGCGUGGGGAUCAAACAGGAUUAGAUACCCUGGUAGUCCACGCCGUAAACGAUGAUAACUAGUUGUUGGCGAUACACAGUCAGCGACACAGCGAAAGCAUUAAGUUAUCCACCCGGAGAGUACGAUCGCAAGGUUGAAACUCAAAGGAAUUGACGGGGGGCCGCACAAGCGGAGGAACAUGUGGUUUAAUUCGAUGAUACGCGAGGAACCUUACCUGGGCUUGAAAGUUAGUGACGGAUGCCGAAAGGUGUCUUCCCAGCAAUGGGCACGAAACUAGGUGCUGCAUGGUUGUCGUCAGCUCGUGCCGUGAGGUGUCGGGUUAAGUCCCAUAACGAGCGCAACCCCUAUUACUAGUUGCCAGCGGAUAAUGCCGGGGACUCUAGUGAGACUGCCGGCGUAAGCCGUGAGGAAGGUGGGGAUGACGUCAAAUCAGCACGGCCCUUAUGUCCAGGGCUACACACGUGUUACAA